RNAcentral lists this unclassified non-coding RNA (263 nucleotides) under plant metagenome. RNAcentral describes it as "partial contains small subunit ribosomal RNA, internal transcribed spacer 1, and 5.8S ribosomal RNA". The record is from RNAcentral.
UUUCCGUAGGUGAACCUGCGGAAGGAUCAUUACUGUAUCCCCGAGGGUCCAGGGCUGGCUCUCACCCCAAAGGUCGUGCACGCCGUAGUGACCUCACACACCUCCGUCUCACCCCUAGGUGCACUACCGCGUGGGUCCCCCUUUGGCCGGUUCGGGGGGGGGGUUACGUUGUCACAGAAACAUUGUAUGAAGUGUAGAAUGUAUUUUUUGUUUUUGGGAUCACUCAAUCAAUACAACUUUCAACAACGGAUCUCUUGGUUCUC